GAUGAAGAACGUAGCGAAAUGCGAUAAGUAAUGUGAAUUGCAGAAUUCAGUGAAUCAUCGAAUCUUUGAACGCACAUUGCGCCCGCCAGUAUUCUGGCGGGCAUGCCUGUUCGAGCGUCAUUACAACCCUCAGGCCCCCGGGCCUGGCGUUGGGGAUCGGCGGAGCCCCCCGUGGGCACACGCCGUCCCCCAAAUGCAGUGGCGGUCCCGCCGCAGCUUCCAUCGCGUAGUAGCUAACACCUCGCGACUGGAGAGCGGCGCGGCCACGCCGUAAAACACCCCACUUCUGAAAGUUUGACCUCGGAUCAGGUAGGAAUACCCGCUGAACUUAAGCAUAUCAAUAAGCGGAGGA
This 352-nucleotide unclassified non-coding RNA is filed under the name soil metagenome. RNAcentral's name for it is "partial contains 5.8S ribosomal RNA, internal transcribed spacer 2, and large subunit ribosomal RNA". The stretch from base 1 to 120 matches the Rfam family "5.8S ribosomal RNA", at positions 35 to 154 of the family's 154-position model. The record is from RNAcentral.